Molecule: ribosomal RNA, 425 nt
Filed under: uncultured bacterium
Lineage: Bacteria
Description: partial 16S ribosomal RNA
Rfam family: Bacterial small subunit ribosomal RNA
Source: RNAcentral
GUGGGGAAUCUUAGACAAUGGGCGCAAGCCUGAUCUAGCCAUGCCGCGUGAGCGAUGAAGGCCUUAGGGUUGUAAAGCUCUUUCGUGGGGGAAGAUAAUGACGGUACCUACAGAAGAAGCCCCGGCUAACUUCGUGCCAGCAGCCGCGGUAAUACGAAGGGGGCUAGCGUUGUUCGGAUUUACUGGGCGUAAAGCGCACGUAGGCGGAUUGGUCAGUUAGAGGUGAAAUCCCGAAGCUCAACUUCGGAACUGCCUUUAAUACUGCCAGUCUCGAGUCCGGAAGAGGUGAGUGGAACUCCUAGUGUAGAGGUGGAAUUCGUAGAUAUUAGGAAGAACACCAGUGGCGAAGGCGGCUCACUGGUCCGGUACUGACGCUGAGGUGCGAAAGCGUGGGGAGCAAACAGGAUUAGAAACCCGAGUAGUCC